RNAcentral lists this ribosomal RNA (292 nucleotides) under uncultured bacterium. Its description in RNAcentral is "partial 16S ribosomal RNA". The record is from RNAcentral.
GGACUACUGGGGUAUCUAAUCCUGUUUGCUCCCCACGCUCUCGCGCCUCAGCGUCUGUGUCAGUCCAGGUAGUCGCCUUCGCCACUGAUGUUCCUUCCGAUCUCUACGCAUUUCACCGCUACACCGGAAAUUCCACUACCCUCUACUGCACUCGAGUCUAUCAGUCUAAAGUGCAAUUCCUAGGUUAAGCCCAGGGAUUUCACACCUCACUUGAUAAACCGCCUACGCGCCCUUUACGCCCAGUCACUCCGAUUAACGCUCGCACCCUCUGUAUUACCGCGGCUGCUGGCAC